GCCGGCAUGUCGGAAUGGCAGACGAUGCGGACUCAAAAUCCGUUGGCGGCAACGCCGUGUGGGUUCAAGUCCCACUGCCGGCA
Molecule: transfer RNA, 83 nt
Filed under: Enterocloster asparagiformis
Lineage: Bacteria; Bacillati; Bacillota; Clostridia; Lachnospirales; Lachnospiraceae
Also listed under: 4 other names
Description: tRNA-Leu
Rfam family: tRNA
About the family: Transfer RNA (tRNA) molecules are approximately 80 nucleotides in length. Their secondary structure includes four short double-helical elements and three loops (D, anti-codon, and T loops).
Source: RNAcentral